Hibiscus syriacus is the source of this 263-nucleotide long non-coding RNA. RefSeq lists it as uncharacterized. The transcript has 3 exons. The record is from RefSeq and is a predicted model, not a curated record. Lineage: Eukaryota; Viridiplantae; Streptophyta; Magnoliopsida; Malvales; Malvaceae.
UGUUGAUGUACCAAGGGUACCAAAGAAGAGAACGUUCAAGAAGUUCAGUUUCAAAGGUAUCGAUCUCGAUGCUCUCUUGGAUAUGUCCAAUGAUGAACUCGUCAAGCUCUUUCCUGCUCGUGCUCGUCGAAGGUUUCAGAUGGGUUUGAAGAGGAAGCCAAUGGCUCUGAUCAAGAAAUUACGCAAGGCUAUGAGUAUUCUUCUAUUUUCCUUCUUUUUCAACUAUAAGGAAUUAACUGAUACUUUAGAGUUUUUUUAAUUUG